RNAcentral lists this transfer RNA (70 nucleotides) under Marmota monax (woodchuck). RNAcentral describes it as "tRNA.Ala". Lineage: Eukaryota; Metazoa; Chordata; Mammalia; Rodentia; Sciuridae. The record is from RNAcentral.
GGGCUGGGGCUGAGCGGUAAAGCACUUGCCUGGCAUGUGUGAGGCACUGGGUUCGAUUCUCAGCAUCGCA